GUUUUGUUUUUGAACCAUGGCAGAACUCAACAUGUGGACUCUAACUUGUGUUUUUCUUUCCUUCCUGUCUGCAGGGUUAAAGGCUUACAGAAAAGGAAAAGGUCUCAGCUGGUAUGAAGUACCUACAUCUCGACAGCUGACAGGAAGAGACUCAACAGACUGACAAAGAAGGCCAGCUGUGUCCUGGGGCGCUCUCUUGACCCGCUGGACGUGGUGGGAGAAAGGAGAAUGCUAGCCAAGCUAUCAUCCCUUAUGGUCAACAUGUCCCACCCCAUGCAGGACACUUUGUCAGCACUGGGCAGCUCGUUCAGUGACUGGCUACUUCACCCGCUGUGCUGUCAGACUAUACAUCCAACACUGCUCCCAGUGGACCACACAUACGAAAACUAUGGACAAUCAAACAUCAUUCAUGUGAGGUAUCUGUGUCUGUAUAUACCAACUGUGAAAUAUCUACACUUGAUGUGUACAAUAAUGACCAGACUCCGGCUCCUAUAAGAAACUUAGGACUGAAUCAUCCUCAAUUUAAUGAUGAAUGUUUCCCACAAAACUGUGUUAUUGAACUUUUUACUCAGUGUUCAUGUCUAAUUAUAACAAAAGCCCAAAUGCUAAAAAUAUUGUAGGCCUACAAGUUCCUUCUCAUAUGGUGUUUCUUUGGUGUUGGCCUAACUGUAGGUAGGGGAAGCACAAUAUAAGGUGUCUGGUAGUGAUGAACCUACAAUUAUGACCUGAAUCUGCAGCUAUCUUUAUCUUCACAGAGCUUUACAGUGAGCUUCAGCUCAUUGUUUAACUGUCCAGCCCACAAUUUUACUGUUUUGCUUUACUGUCUUUGCUCUAAUGAUGUGUUUUGCUCUAAAAACCUACUAUUCACUACCUGCUCAGCAGCAAACAGCAGAACAACACAGUUAGGGACUAGCUGUUGCACAUAGUGGAGCAUUAAGGAGCUAAAGGGACAGAUAUUAAUUUAAUAUAUGACAAAUAUUUAUCAGGUGGACAAGAGACCAAACAUAAGAAUUAAGUCAUAUCAAGACAAUUUAUUUAUUGAAAAGCAAACAGCUAGACAAACAGAGAUUAGACAAUAUGUAAACAUGUUUUUAGAGAGUGCACAGCCAUGAUAGUGUCUUUGCAUAUGAUGUAUUACACUGGUGCUCUGUCCAGAUUGAAGGCAGCUGGAGGCAAAGUCUACCAACACUGCACCAAUGCCUUUGAUUUGCGCUGCUUACAGCCGUUCCAAUCAAUAAAACUUGGGGAAAAACAAGAGCCAAUUUAUGUCCCGUAUACAGUAGGACGUAAAGGGGAGAAGUAUUUUUAAAAAGUAACUGAGAAACAGCAGCAGAUGUGGAUCCAAAACCUCAGACCUCUGGGAUCGAUUAACCUCGUAACAUUAGGUAGAAAACAGUAGCCAAAGUUAGCUAAUGUUAGCUGGUAACAUCAGCCUGACAACGGUGUCUCCCAUGAACACCUGGCCAAGAACAAGAUGGUAGUCGUUUCAGUCGUGGACCCAGAUAACACAAAAUAGUUAUAGUCAGUACUCAAGUUGUAAAAAAAAA
This is a non-coding RNA of Epinephelus lanceolatus (giant grouper), 1547 nucleotides long. The record is from RefSeq and is a predicted model, not a curated record. Lineage: Eukaryota; Metazoa; Chordata; Actinopteri; Perciformes; Serranidae.